GGGUGCAGCAGGCGCGAAACCUUUACACUGCACGCAAGUGCGAUAAGGGGACCCCAAGUGCGAGGGCAUAUAGUCCUCGCUUUUCUCGACUGUAAGGCGGUCGAGGAAUAAGAGCUGGGCAAGACCGGUGCCAGCCGCCGCGGUAAUACCGGCAGCUCAAGUGAUGACCGAUAUUAUUGGGCCUAAAGCGUCCGUAGCCGGCCACGAAGGUUCAUCGGGAAAUCCGCCAGCUCAACUGGCGGGCGUCCGGUGAAAACCACGUGGCUUGGGACCGGAAGGCUCGAGGGGUACGUCCGGGGUAGGAGUGAAAUCCUGUAAUCCUGGACGGACCACCGAUGGCGAAAGCACCUCGAGAAGACGGAUCCGACGGUGAGGGACGAAAGCUAGGGUCUCGAACCGGAUUAGAUACCCGGGUAGUCCUAGCUGUAAACGAUGCUCGCUAGGUGUGGCACAGGCUACGAGCCUGUGCUGUGCCGUAGGGAAGCCGAGAAGCGAGCC
RNAcentral lists this ribosomal RNA (498 nucleotides) under Haloferax chudinovii. Its description in RNAcentral is "bacterial SSU rRNA". It matches the Rfam family "Archaeal small subunit ribosomal RNA", at positions 328 to 825 of the family's 1478-position model. The record is from RNAcentral. Lineage: Archaea; Methanobacteriati; Methanobacteriota; Halobacteria; Halobacteriales; Haloferacaceae.